GGGACCGUAGGGUAGCCUGGACCAUCCUUCGGCGUUCGGGACGUACUUUUAAGUGCGCGGAUCACGCCGGAACCUGAGUUCAAAUCUCAGCGGUCCCA
RNAcentral lists this transfer RNA (98 nucleotides) under Methanomethylovorans sp. PtaU1.Bin093. Its description in RNAcentral is "tRNA-Pro". Lineage: Archaea; Methanobacteriati; Methanobacteriota; Methanomicrobia; Methanosarcinales; Methanosarcinaceae. The record is from RNAcentral.